GAUGAACGCUGGCGGCGUGCCUAAUACAUGCAAGUCGAGCGAACAGACGAGGAGCUUGCUCCUCUGACGUUAGCGGCGGACGGGUGAGUAACACGUGGAUAACCUACCUAUAAGACUGGGAUAACUUCGGGAAACCGGAGCUAAUACCGGAUAAUAUAUUGAACCGCAUGGUUCAAUAGUGAAAGACGGUUUUGCUGUCACUUAUAGAUGGAUCCGCGCCGCAUUAGCUAGUUGGUAAGGUAACGGCUUACCAAGGCAACGAUGCGUAGCCGACCUGAGAGGGGGAUAGGCCACACUGGAACUGAGACACGGUCCAGACUCCUACGGGAGGCCGCAGUAGGGAAUCGUACGCAAUGGGCGAAAGCUUGGCGGAGCAACGCCGCGUGAGUGAUGAAGGUCUUCGGAUCGGAAAACUCUGUUAUGAGGGAAGAACAAAUGUGUAAGUAACUAUGCACGUCUUGACGGUACCUAAUCAGAAAGCCACGGCUAACUACGUG
Molecule: ribosomal RNA, 497 nt
Filed under: uncultured bacterium
Lineage: Bacteria
Description: partial 16S ribosomal RNA
Rfam family: Bacterial small subunit ribosomal RNA
Source: RNAcentral